Non-coding RNA from Acanthosepion pharaonis, 112 nucleotides. The record is from the annotation of a GenBank genome assembly. Lineage: Eukaryota; Metazoa; Mollusca; Cephalopoda; Sepiida; Sepiidae.
UUACGGCCACAUCAUGUAAAACGCCAAUUCCAGUACGAAUCACCGAAGUUAAGCAACGUCGAGCCAGGCCAGUACCUAGAUGGGUGACCGCUUGGGAAUACCAGGUUCUGUA